Molecule: ribosomal RNA, 727 nt
Filed under: uncultured bacterium
Lineage: Bacteria
Description: bacterial SSU rRNA
Rfam family: Bacterial small subunit ribosomal RNA
Source: RNAcentral
AGCACGGAGCUUGCUCCUGGUGGCGAGUGGCGAACGGGUGAGUAAUAUAUCGGAACGUACCCUAGAGUGGGGGAUAACGUAGCGAAAGUUACGCUAAUACCGCAUACGAUCUAAGGAUGAAAGUGGGGGAUCGCAAGACCUCAUGCUCGUGGAGCGGCCGAUAUCUGAUUAGCUAGUUGGUAGGGUAAAAGCCUACCAAGGCAUCGAUCAGUAGCUGGUCUGAGAGGACGACCAGCCACACUGGAACUGAGACACGGUCCAGACUCCUACGGGAGGCAGCAGUGGGGAAUUUUGGACGAUGGGCGAAAGCCUGAUCCAGCAAUGCCGCGUGAGUGAAGAAGGCCUUCGGGUUGUAAAGCUCUUUUGUCAGGGAAGAAACGGUGAAGGCUAGUAUCCUUUGCUAAUGACGGUACCUGAAGAAUAAGCACCGGCUAACUACGUGCCAGCAGCCGCGGUAAUACGUAGGGUGCAAGCGUUAAUCGGAAUUACUGGGCGUAAAGCGUGCGCAGGCGGUUUUGUAAGUCUGAUGUGAAAUCCCCGGGCUCAACCUGGGAAUUGCAUUGGAGACUGCAAGGCUAGAAUCUGGCAGAGGGGGGUAGAAUUCCACGUGUAGCAGUGAAAUGCGUAGAUAUGUGGAGGAACACCGAUGGCGAAGGCAGCCCCCUGGGUCAAGAUUGACGCUCAUGCACGAAAGCGUGGGGAGCAAACAGGAUUAGAUACCCCUGGU